Molecule: microRNA, 19 nt
Filed under: Corchorus olitorius
Lineage: Eukaryota; Viridiplantae; Streptophyta; Magnoliopsida; Malvales; Malvaceae
Description: sme-miR-2159-
Source: RNAcentral
UUCCUUUUCUUUGAGUAGU